RNAcentral lists this ribosomal RNA (839 nucleotides) under Triticum aestivum (bread wheat). RNAcentral's name for it is "partial small subunit ribosomal RNA". The record is from RNAcentral. Lineage: Eukaryota; Viridiplantae; Streptophyta; Magnoliopsida; Poales; Poaceae.
GAAUAAACAAGGCCAAAAAUCAAGUAAGUAACAAAGUAGACAAUUAACGUCCUUCCAGUUUUACCUACUAGGACUAAAACUCUUUCGAAAACAUACUCAAGAUACACAGAGUAUUUCACUUAACGACUUUUGCCUCCUAAUGUUUACAACCUCGAACGUUACACCUUUCGCUGGUACCGAUCGUCGUCGGCGUAGGGUCGGUACUCGGUAGUGGAACCCGCUCUAGACACAACGGGUCGCACGCCUGACCGAUCGCCGCCACGACCGGUAACCGUGCCGUUUGGGCGGGGUGACGCACGGCGUCCCGUAGCCGUACGCAAAGAAGGUGUGUGGCUACUUGACGAGCGGUGCGUGGGCCUGAACAGGGAGCUGCGGUGGAGCCGACGCCACUUACGUUAGCGGCUCACCCCGACAUGCCGCCCGCUGUAGUGGGUAGAGCAGCAGUAGUGGUUGCGCCCUAGCGUACGGGACCCGUGGCUGCAGGCGAACCAGAACGGGAGGACCAGAACGGGAGGCGGAGCCGCAGGACGCGUUGACUACCAAAUAAAAACUGAUCAUGAACUACCAAAUAAAAACUGACAUCAUGGACUACCAAAUAUCACAUCAAUAAAGAACUAAAACGAGACAUUACGGGUCACCUUAAUGUGACAUACGAUUAACCAAAAUGUAUCAUUUAGAAUCGCCAAAAUGUAUCAUUAAAUGUGUCAUCAAAUGUGACAUUAAAAUCAUUUAAGAAUGACCUAAAAUGACAUAAACAUUCCCCCCAAAAGUCACGUAAAAAACAGUAAAAUCACUAAAGACGUCACGAUUAGAAUCACCGUAAACGUCACAUUUAAAUG